This 1395-nucleotide ribosomal RNA is filed under the name Escherichia coli. Its description in RNAcentral is "partial 23S ribosomal RNA". It matches the Rfam family "Bacterial large subunit ribosomal RNA", at positions 1419 to 2797 of the family's 2925-position model. Lineage: Bacteria; Pseudomonadati; Pseudomonadota; Gammaproteobacteria; Enterobacterales; Enterobacteriaceae. The record is from RNAcentral.
UGGGAAACAGGUUAAUAUUCCUGUACUUGGUGUUACUGCGAAGGGGGGACGGAGAAGGCUAUGUUGGCCGGGCGACGGUUGUCCCGGUUUAAGCGUGUAGGCUGGUUUUCCAGGCAAAUCCGGAAAACCAAGGCUGAGGCGUGAUGACGAGGCACUACGGUGCUGAAGCGACAAAUGCCCUGCUUCCAGGAAAAGCCUCUAAGCAUCAGGUAACAUCAAAUCGUACCCCAAACCGACACAGGUGGUCAGGUAGAGAAUACCAAGGCGCUUGAGAGAACUCGGGUGAAGGAACUAGGCAAAAUGGUGCCGUAACUUCGGGAGAAGGCACGCUGAUAUGUAGGUGAAGCGACUUGCUCGUGGAGCUGAAAUCAGUCGAAGAUACCAGCUGGCUGCAACUGUUUAUUAAAAACACAGCACUGUGCAAACACGAAAGUGGACGUAUACGGUGUGACGCCUGCCCGGUGCCGGAAGGUUAAUUGAUGGGGUUAGCGGUAACGCGAAGCUCUUGAUCGAAGCCCCGGUAAACGGCGGCCGUAACUAUAACGGUCCUAAGGUAGCGAAAUUCCUUGUCGGGUAAGUUCCGACCUGCACGAAUGGCGUAAUGAUGGCCAGGCUGUCUCCACCCGAGACUCAGUGAAAUUGAACUCGCUGUGAAGAUGCAGUGUACCCGCGGCAAGACGGAAAGACCCCGUGAACCUUUACUAUAGCUUGACACUGAACAUUGAGCCUUGAUGUGUAGGAUAGGUGGGAGGCUUUGAAGUGUGGACGCCAGUCUGCAUGGAGCCGACCUUGAAAUACCACCCUUUAAUGUUUGAUGUUCUAACGUUGGCCCGUAAUCCGGGUUGCGGACAGUGUCUGGUGGGUAGUUUGACUGGGGCGGUCUCCUCCUAAAGAGUAACGGAGGAGCACGAAGGUUGGCUAAUCCUGGUCGGACAUCAGGAGGUUAGUGCAAUGGCAUAAGCCAGCUUGACUGCGAGCGUGACGGCGCGAGCAGGUGCGAAAGCAGGUCAUAGUGAUCCGGUGGUUCUGAAUGGAAGGGCCAUCGCUCAACGGAUAAAAGGUACUCCGGGGAUAACAGGCUGAUACCGCCCAAGAGUUCAUAUCGACGGCGGUGUUUGGCACCUCGAUGUCGGCUCAUCACAUCCUGGGGCUGAAGUAGGUCCCAAGGGUAUGGCUGUUCGCCAUUUAAAGUGGUACGCGAGCUGGGUUUAGAACGUCGUGAGACAGUUCGGUCCCUAUCUGCCGUGGGCGCUGGAGAACUGAGGGGGGCUGCUCCUAGUACGAGAGGACCGGAGUGGACGCAUCACUGGUGUUCGGGUUGUCAUGCCAAUGGCACUGCCCGGUAGCUAAAUGCGGAAGAGAUAAGUGCUGAAAGCAUCUAAGCACGAAACUUGC